CGCCUGGCCCAGAGUGGGAUCUUAAAGCAGAGUCUGGCUCAAGAUUGAGACAAUUCCCAGCAGAAUGAAUGGAGCAGUAACACAGUCAGAAGGCCCUGAGGGAGGCAGGUGGCUCUCUCUGUUCCUGCCAGCACUCUCUCCCCCACUUCUGAUAACAGACCUGCCGUACCAUGGGAAGAUGGCCAAAAAUGGCCGCCCACGGUACUUGUUCCUCGGCUACAGUAAUUGGUCCAUGUGUAGGCAUGUGACCCAUCAUGACCAAUCAUAGCAGCCCACUUCUGAGCGGGGGCACAGCAAUUGUUCCAGGUGUAGUCAUGUGACUCAAGCAGGGCGAAUUCAGGAUUGUCUGCAGAGCUUGUGGGGAGGAUGUUUCUUUCUCUCCCUCCUCCUCUCUGGCAUCCAGGCCUUAAAGAGGUAGACUUGGCACUACCAGUGGCCUCAGACAAUAAGGCCAAUAAGCAGAGAGGAGGAGAAAUGAAACAUGAGGUGAGGGGGUUAGGACAGGAAGAGAACCCAGAGCUUCCAGUCCCUGGAUCCUAGAGAGCAAUACAGCCUCUUCCCUUUCCUCAUCGUAGCUACCCAGUGAAUAAAUCCCUCGUUCUACCUCAUUCAGAUCAACUUCAGUGCCUGUUGUUUGCAACCCACAGUGUCCCAAUUCAGGACUUGGGAACUGUUUUCCUUUUCAUGGAUUGUGUAGAACUGAAAGGGAUACGUCAUUCUCAGAACUUAUAUUCUUGUUCCGAUGUGCCAGCUGUACUUAAAAAUAAAAGAAUCCCAGACCCAUCUCCAUGUUCACCACCACCCCUCCUGUUAAUUUCCUGCUGAAUUGCAGCUCAACGCAUGUGCUGGGAUUUCAAGUCCUGCCCUAAUCAAUUUACUACCACCUCCCCAACCUUAACCCCAACCUACACGCACCUUCCUACGCUGGCCUGUGCGUGCAGCCUGCCCUGGCCUCUACUGUGACGCCUACCACGUUAUAUUUGUAAUGAUUUGUUUAUGACUGUCCCCAUACUAGGGAAGGCAUCGAGCUUGAGGAAGAGGCCCCAUUCAUCUCCGUACCCCAGGCCCUGGUACACAGCAGGCAGAUAAACCUGCCAGUAAUUUCAGCAAAUGAAACGUGGAACACGUCAAGGCCAGAGGAUGGAAAAGGCUCCAGUUUUGAUAAAAGGAGGCCUGCUUGGCUUGGAAUCCUCUCUCCUGCUGGUUGGGAGAUGCAAAGAUGUUUCCAGAGAGGGGCUGAUGAAUUGAGGGGAAAGAAAUGAGCCCAGUAUGAGUCCCCUUUCAGGGCUGAGCGUGUAUAAAACCAAACAACUUGGAACCGCUCCAAGAGAGGGGAUUAAAGCAACAUGUUAUUCUGAGUGAUUGCUUAAUUUAUUGAGCUGCGGCUGGAUCUGUAAUGAAAUACAGCCCUUGUAACUGAUAACCUCCUGCUGCCAUUGAACUUCUACAAUUAAGGAAUAUUUUCUGAGUUUCUCUGGAACGGCUCUGAAUUUUUAGCCUCUGUGGUAGGGUGCUUCUGAACAUUUGUUUUCCAGGCAAUUUUUUUUGAGUAUUAGGCUGAUGUUAAUAAAUAAGCAGCAUUUUAUUGAGUG
Molecule: long non-coding RNA, 1592 nt
Filed under: Homo sapiens (human)
Lineage: Eukaryota; Metazoa; Chordata; Mammalia; Primates; Hominidae
Description: HSALNT0384689
Source: RNAcentral